Parelaphostrongylus tenuis is the source of this 71-nucleotide non-coding RNA. The record is from the annotation of a GenBank genome assembly. Lineage: Eukaryota; Metazoa; Nematoda; Chromadorea; Rhabditida; Metastrongylidae.
GCCUUGGUGGUGUAGUGGUACCUUCCCCUCCUGGGUAAGGAGGAAACGCGGGUUCAAUCCCGCCCGGGGUA